This 412-nucleotide ribosomal RNA is filed under the name Creolandreva crepitans. Its description in RNAcentral is "partial 12S ribosomal RNA". Lineage: Eukaryota; Metazoa; Arthropoda; Insecta; Orthoptera; Gryllidae. The record is from RNAcentral.
UAUUAUUGAUUAUGUGAUGCUGAUACUGGAGUAGUAAUAGAUAAGGUCUUCAAACUCAAAGAAUUUGGCGGUAUUUUAGUCUUUUCAGAGGAAUCUGUCCAGUAAUUGAUAAUACACGAGUUUAGAAACUUGAUCUGGUUAUUAAUUUGUAUACCGCCGUCAUGAGAUUAUCUUUUUAGAAAGAAAUUUUCUUGAGUUAAUAUUGUAUAGUAUGUCAGGUCAAGGUGCAGUAAAUGAUUAAGAUGGAGAUGGAUUACAAUAAUAGUAGUUAAAUGAAUGUUUAAGUGUAAUAGGUUUAAACUGAAGGUGGAUUUGAUUGUAAAUUAAUAUUGAUUUAGGUAAUUAUUAUUUAUUUUUUGAUUAGGGCUCUAAAAUGUGCACAUAUCGCCCGUCGCUCUCAUUAUAAAAUGAG